AUGUCUUACAGCUUUUGCCUGAGUUUCUUAGGACAAUCAUUCUUGGAAUGCUUCCAUGUAGAACCUAGCGGUCAUCCUAUGAAAAACCCAAGCCACAUGGGGAGGCCUUGUAUGGGUGUUCCAGUUUACAGUCCCAGCUAAUACUAGCAUCAGCUGCCAACCACGUGAGUCAGCCAUCUUGGACAUCCAUCCCAGAUGAGCCUUUGCAUGAUUCUAGCUCCAGCCAUCAUUGGACUGCAAUCACAUGAAAAACUCUAAAUAAGAACUACCCAGCUGAGCUCAGUCAAGUCAUAAAACCAUUAGAGAUAAUAUAUAUUUUUAAGCCACUAUGUUUUGCGGUUGUUCGUUGUGCAGUAAUAGAAAACUGGAACACUCAUGGAAAUCUUACUAGUUUUAGCAUGUCUGUUUAUUUUUGUGCCAGCACUAAACUGUUCACCACUGUAGUAUUUUAAUACAUUUUAAGAUGUGGGAGAUGGAAGAAACUUUGGGCAGUGGUGGUGUGUAUUGUGAUCAGAGUGGAGAGUGUCACAAAAAUGAAACGGCUUAUCUUCCUACAACCUACCUUCUCGUUUCUUUUUGGAGGCAAAUUUAUAAUGUGGAGGAAUUCAUAAUGCCUUGGACAAAAUGUGCAGCUAUUGUUUUUACUGAGAAGUUUGCAAGUACCUGUUUUAUCCACAUAGAUAUCCAAGUGCUAUGGUUUAAUAUAUCUCCCAAAUUUCACAUGUUGGAAAUUUGAGUCCCAACACAGCAAUGUUGGGGAGGGUGGGACUUUUAAGAGGUGAUUAGGUUAUAAGGGCUCCGUCCUCAUGAAUGGAUUAGUGCUGUUACAGAGGGAGUAGGUUUGUUAUAAAAGGAUGAUUAGUUUAACCUCCUCCUCUGCAGUUUAUUUAGAGAUCGAUUUUAUUUUGUAUGGAGGAAAAGGGAGUGGAUUGGGGC
RNAcentral lists this long non-coding RNA (936 nucleotides) under Pan troglodytes (chimpanzee). RNAcentral describes it as "lncRNA (ENSPTRG00000053249.1)". The record is from RNAcentral. Lineage: Eukaryota; Metazoa; Chordata; Mammalia; Primates; Hominidae.